This 888-nucleotide ribosomal RNA is filed under the name uncultured Pedobacter sp. RNAcentral's name for it is "bacterial SSU rRNA". It matches the Rfam family "Bacterial small subunit ribosomal RNA", at positions 45 to 933 of the family's 1533-position model. The record is from RNAcentral. Lineage: Bacteria; Pseudomonadati; Bacteroidota; Sphingobacteriia; Sphingobacteriales; Sphingobacteriaceae.
GGCCUAACACAUGCAAGUCGAACGAUACUUUCCAGCUUGCUGGAGAGGAAAGUGGCGCACGGGUGCGUAACGCGUAUGCAACCUACCUUAAUCAGGGGGGUAGCCCGAAGAAAUUCGGAUUAACACCGCAUAAAAUCACAGUACAGCAUUGUACAAUGAUCAAAUAUUUAUAGGAUUAAGAUGGGCAUGCGUGACAUUAGUUAGUUGGCGGGGUAACGGCCCACCAAGACCACGAUGUCUAGGGGAUCUGAGAGGAUGACCCCCCACACUGGUACUGAGACACGGACCAGACUCCUACGGGAGGCAGCAGUAAGGAAUAUUGGUCAAUGGAGGCAACUCUGAACCAGCCAUGCCGCGUGCAGGAAGACAGCCCUCUGGGUCGUAAACUGCUUUUAUUCGGGAAUAAACCUAUCUACGUGUAGAUAGCUGAAUGUACCGAAGGAAUAAGGAUCGGCUAACUCCGUGCCAGCAGCCGCGGUAAUACGGAGGAUCCAAGCGUUAUCCGGAUUUAUUGGGUUUAAAGGGUGCGUAGGCGGCUUAUUAAGUCAGGGGUGAAAGACGGUGGCUCAACCAUCGCAGUGCCUUUGAUACUGAUGAGCUUGAAUGAACUAGAGGUAGGCGGAAUGUGACAAGUAGCGGUGAAAUGCAUAGAUAUGUCACAGAACACCGAUUGCGAAGGCAGCUUACUAUGGUUUUAUUGACGCUGAGGCACGAAAGCGUGGGGAUCAAACAGGAUUAGAUACCCUGGUAGUCCACGCCCUAAACGAUGAAUACUCGCUGUUAGCGAUACACAGUUAGCGGCUAAGCGAAAGCGUUAAGUAUUCCACCUGGGGAGUACGCCCGCAAGGGUGAAACUCAAAGGAAUUGACGGGGGCCCGCACAAGCGGA